UUCCGUUAAUUGAUUAUGACGUGCUUGCACUGAAUGAGAUUUUAACACGAAGUGAGUGGCGGACGGGUGAGUAACACGUGGGUAACCUGCCCAGAAGCAGGGGAUAACACCUGGAAACAGAUGCUAAUACCGUAUAACAGAGAAAACCGCCUGGUUUUCUUUUAAAAGAUGGCUCUGCUAUCACUUCUGGAUGGACCCGCGGCGCAUUAGCUAGUUGGUGAGGUAACGGCUCACCAAGGCGAUGAUGCGUAGCCGACCUGAGAGGGUAAUCGGCCACAUUGGGACUGAGACACGGCCCAGACUCCUACGGGAGGCAGCAGUAGGGAAUCUUCCACAAUGGACGCAAGUCUGAUGGAGCAACGCCGCGUGAGUGAAGAAGGGUUUCGGCUCGUAAAGCUCUGUUGUUAAAGAAGAACGUGGGUGAGAGUAACUGUUCACCCAGUGACGGUAUUUAACCAGAAAGCCACGGCUAACUACGUGCCAGCAGCCGCGGUAAUACGUAGGUGGCAAGCGUUAUCCGGAUUUAUUGGGCGUAAAGCGAGCGCAGGCGGUCUUUUAAGUCUAAUGUGAAAGCCUUCGGCUCAACCGAAGAAGUGCAUUGGAAACUGGGAGACUUGAGUGCAGAAGAGGACAGUGGAACUCCAUGUGUAGCGGUGAAAUGCGUAGAUAUAUGGAAGAACACCAGUGGCGAAGGCGGCUGUCUGGUCUGUAACUGACGCUGAGGCUCGAAAGCAUGGGUAGCGAACAGGAUUAGAUACCCUGGUAGUCCAUGCCGUAAACGAUGAUUACUAAGUGUUGGAGGGUUUCCGCCCUUCAGUGCUGCAGCUAACGCAUUAAGUAAUCCGCCUGGGGAGUACGACCGCAAGGUUGAAACUCAAAAGAAUUGACGGGGGCCCGCACAAGCGGUGGAGCAUGUGGUUUAAUUCGAAGCUACGCGAAGAACCUUACCAGGUCUUGACAUCUUCUGCCAACCUAAGAGAUUAGGCGUUCCCUUCGGGGACAGAAUGACAGGUGGUGCAUGGUUGUCGUCAGCUCGUGUCGUGAGAUGUUGGGUUAAGUCCCGCAACGAGCGCAACCCUUAUUACUAGUUGCCAGCAUUCAGUUGGGCACUCUAGUGAGACUGCCGGUGACAAACCGGAGGAAGGUGGGGACGACGUCAAAUCAUCAUGCCCCUUAUGACCUGGGCUACACACGUGCUACAAUGGAUGGUACAACGAGUUGCGAAACCGCGAGGUUUAGCUAAUCUCUUAAAACCAUUCUCAGUUCGGACUGUAGGCUGCAACUCGCCUACACGAAGUCGGAAUCGCUAGUAAUCGCGGAUCAGCAUGCCGCGGUGAAUACGUUCCCGGGCCUUGUACACACCGCCCGUCACACCAUGAGAGUUUGUAACACCCAAAGCCGGU
This 1403-nucleotide ribosomal RNA is filed under the name Pediococcus acidilactici. RNAcentral's name for it is "bacterial SSU rRNA". It matches the Rfam family "Bacterial small subunit ribosomal RNA", at positions 64 to 1431 of the family's 1533-position model. Lineage: Bacteria; Bacillati; Bacillota; Bacilli; Lactobacillales; Lactobacillaceae. The record is from RNAcentral.